AACGAACGCUGGCGGCAUGCCUAACACAUGCAAGUCGAACGAGACCUUCGGGUCUAGUGGCGCACGGGUGCGUAACGCGUGGGAACCUGCCCUUAGGUUCGGAAUAACUCCCCGAAAGGGGUGCUAAUACCGGAUAAUGUCUUCGGACCAAAGAUUUAUCGCCUUUGGAUGGGCCCGCGUUGGAUUAGCUAGUUGGUAGGGUAAAAGCCUACCAAGGCGACGAUCCAUAGCUGGUCUGAGAGGAUGAUCAGCCACACUGGGACUGAGACACGGCCCAGACUCCUACGGGAGGCAGCAGUGGGGAAUAUUGGACAAUGGGCGAAAGCGUGAUCCAGCAAUGCCGCGGGAGUGAUGAAGGCCUUAGGGUUGUAAAGCUCUUUUACCCGGGAUGAUAAUGACAGUACCGGGAGAAUAAGCUCCGGCUAACUCCGUG
RNAcentral lists this ribosomal RNA (433 nucleotides) under uncultured bacterium. RNAcentral describes it as "partial 16S ribosomal RNA". It matches the Rfam family "Bacterial small subunit ribosomal RNA", at positions 29 to 507 of the family's 1533-position model. The record is from RNAcentral.